This 301-nucleotide ribosomal RNA is filed under the name uncultured bacterium. RNAcentral describes it as "partial 16S ribosomal RNA". It matches the Rfam family "Bacterial small subunit ribosomal RNA", at positions 509 to 809 of the family's 1533-position model. The record is from RNAcentral.
CAGUAGCCGCGGGAAUACGUAGGGUGCAAGCGUUAAUCGGAAUUACUGGGCGUAAAGCGUGCGCAGGCGGUUUGUUAAGACAGAUGUGAAAUCCCCGGGCUCAACCUGGGAAUGGCAAUGGAUACUGGCAAGCUAGAGUGUGUCAGAGGAUGGUGGAAUUCCCGGUGUAGCGGUGAAAUGCGUAGAGAUCGGGGGGAACAUCAGUGGCGAAGGCGGCCAUCUGGGACAACACUGACGCUGAGGCACGAAAGCGUGGGGAGCAAACAGGAUUAGAUACCCCAGUAGUCCCUGUCUCUUAUAA